Hipposideros armiger (great roundleaf bat) is the source of this 1654-nucleotide long non-coding RNA. RefSeq lists it as uncharacterized. The record is from RefSeq and is a predicted model, not a curated record. NCBI's taxonomy places the organism in Eukaryota, Metazoa, Chordata, Mammalia, Chiroptera, Hipposideridae. The transcript has 3 exons.
CUGAACCGAUUUGUAAGAGAAUGGGUGACUGAAAUUAGCAAAGAAUCGCCCCACACAAAGAUGGCGCGUGCAGAAUUUGUGAAAGCGAAAAAGGAGACGGAGGCGAAGCCUAAGAGCAGCUGGAGUCCAGAAAUGAUUUUUUUCGAUGAAUUUAGGAUUUUGCCGCAGUAUACAUCUGCAGUCCCAGAAUCCUCGGCCAUUACAAUGUGCUUCCUCAGUCUAGCAAGGACUGUUGUGUCGAACCAAUGAAGGCCUGGAGAACACAUAACCCCAAGCAUGAAGAGUGUUCCUGGCAUAACUGAAGCGGCCAUGAAUAUCACUACCACUGCUGCUGCCACCGCUGCCGCCACCACCACGGCCACCGCCUCCCACCACCUUCACCACCCCUCCCUUGGUCUGCAGCACACACUAGAUGCAAGCUUUCCACAGUGGCUCUCUGCCGAAUUUGCCCAGUGGGUUCCUAGAUUACUCCUGUGUGCGAGAAUAGCCAACCAUGUAGUCUGACAAGAAGUAUUUACAACUACUUAGCCUGUUCAGCUGGAAAGAAAUCAAGAGAUAACACUGAACCCUGAGAUGAUGUAUUGCAAAUCAAAAGCUCCAAUCCAUAAAUAGCCCACUCGGUGACCGGCUAAAUGAAAAGCUGAUCCUGGUUAUUGUCCAGUGUUUUCAGGUUGUCAAAAGAGAUAUUUUUAACAGGCAUUCUUAGAGAGUCAGGAUUCAUUGUUUAUAAAUGCAUGGAGUAUGACUUAGUCUUACCUUUCUGCUGGGAGAGGGUUCUUCCCAAGGAGAUUCGCAUAUAGAGUCCAGAGGAGACCACGCCUUCCUUUCACUGUUUUCUACUGUUUCCGUUUACUCUCAAGUAAGGUUGAUUAACAAUUACAAUUUCAUAUUACUUUAAGGGACCUAAUCAAAAGGAGCCAGUCAUCCAUUUCCCUCUAACGGGAGCUUAUUGUCUUAGUGCUCAAUAAAUGUUUAAUGAAUAGAUUUGAUAGAGUUAACUACGCAAAACAUGAACGGGCCUUCUUUAAAGUGCUGGCUGGAUUAAUGUUUCUGUCGGAAGUGCAAAAACAAUCUGCACAUUUAUUUAUUUGCCUAAAGGUGAUUCAAAAGAUGGGUUUUAGUGAUGGGGGAUGCUUUAUGUUAAGGUUCCAUGUAGCCACUGCCUGAUACGCCAAUGGUCUGAUAUUAUGGCAAGGAAUGCCUCCUCUGUUAAACCAGCUGAAGACACUUGGUUUCUAGGAAUACAGCCUGAAAUUUAGAACUGUGUGUCUUUUUGCAGUUUCACAAAAUGGAUUAAUUUAUGUCAAACCCAAGUGGUUGGCUCUAGGAGGAAAAUGUGUAAAAGAAAAACCAAGUAUUUUUUCAUGAAACGUAUUGCCCAAGGUUAAUUUUUAAGAAUCAUUUUUUACAAAAUCACUUAUUUCACCAAUUCAUCAGGUACUUUGAUGUUUGUAUUUCUCAUUGGUUUAAUGAUGGAAUUUGUCUUCAUUUUGCAGAAGUUAUUCAUCUCAUGUUUUUGGUGAGACAAUUGGAACAAUUUGUUUUUUGAGAGAAGUAAAUAAAAAUUCUGGGCAAUUUGUUAAAUUCCACUAAUUUGUUUUAAUGCUAGUCACCCGGUAAUUCUUCAGUACACUUAAAUUUGAUGGGAAAAACA